UGCGGGGUCGUCUAAUGGUAGGACGUCAGGCUCUGGACCUGAAAGUCCUGGUUCGAAUCCAGGCCCCGCAGCAA
RNAcentral lists this transfer RNA (74 nucleotides) under Candidatus Parcubacteria bacterium. Its description in RNAcentral is "tRNA-Gln". It matches the Rfam family "tRNA". From Rfam's summary of the family: Transfer RNA (tRNA) molecules are approximately 80 nucleotides in length. The record is from RNAcentral. Lineage: Bacteria; Candidatus Parcubacteria.